CAGCGCCACGAGUGGGAGCCAUGUUUAUUGGGCCUAAAGCGUUCGUAGUCGGUUUAGUAAAUUUCUUGUGAAAUUAUCAGGCUUAACCUGAUAGCGUGCAAGAAAGACUGCUAAACUAGGGACCGGUAGGAGUGUGAGGUAUUCCAAGGGGAGCGGUAAAAUGUUAUAAUCCUUGGAGGACCACCUGUGGCGAAGGCGUCACACUAGAACGGAUCCGACGAUGAGGGACGAAAGCCAGGGGAGCGAUCCGGAUUAGAUACCCGAGUAGUCC
Molecule: ribosomal RNA, 271 nt
Filed under: uncultured archaeon
Lineage: Archaea
Description: partial 16S ribosomal RNA
Rfam family: Archaeal small subunit ribosomal RNA
Source: RNAcentral